GACGAACGCUGGCGGCGUGCUUAACACAUGCAAGUCGAACGGUAAGGCCCUUCGGGGUACACGAGUGGCGAACGGGUGAGUAACACGUGGGUGAUCUGCCCUGCACUUCGGGAUAAGCCUGGGAAACUGGGUCUAAUACCGGAUAGGACCACUGCCUGCAUGGGUGGUGGUGGAAAGCUUUUGCGGUGUGGGAUGGGCCCGCGGCCUAUCAGCUUGUUGGUGGGGUGAUGGACUACCAAGGCGACGACGGGUAGCCGGCCUGAGAGGUGGACCGGCCACACUGGGACCGAGAGACGGCCCAGACUCCUACGGGAGGCAGCAGUGGGGAAUAUUGCACAAUGGGCGGAAGCCUGAUGCAGCGACGCCGCGUGAGGGAUGACGGCCUUCGGGUUGUAAACCUCUUUCAGCACCGACGAAGCGCAAGUGACGGUAGGUGCAGAAGAAGGACCGGCCAACUACGUGCCAGCCGCCGCAGUAA
RNAcentral lists this ribosomal RNA (478 nucleotides) under uncultured bacterium. RNAcentral describes it as "partial 16S ribosomal RNA". It matches the Rfam family "Bacterial small subunit ribosomal RNA", at positions 28 to 523 of the family's 1533-position model. The record is from RNAcentral.